ACGGUGGUCGUUGUCGGUUAGCGCUACGCCGACACUUUCGCCGGGUGCGAGCGACCUGGACAACGACGUGUCAACUGGCGCAGGGUGCCCUCUCACGACUCCCACCACGACUUGCGUCGCUGAGGGGAUCUCGUGUAUCGCUAGUUCGUACCGCCAACGUUCGCUGGUGUCGCGGCGUUCUUAAUGAAGCACUGAUGGGACGUUUUUACGACACGUGAAACUCUUGAGAUUUGCGGAAGACUAGAUAUCACUGGGAGCUGAGCACAAGAUCUACCAGAGUUUGCGGCCACACGGUCAGUGUGAUUCCCGAGGGUGCAGUUUGCAGUGGACGCGUAUCGGAGAAUUCGAUUCGACCAGGGUCGGCUCGAGAAGUCGCGAGUGCAGUGCAGUGAAGUGAGUGAAGAGCGAUCGACGUGCGACGACGGCUACUGAAGUUGGACGGAGCGACACAGUCGGGAUGCAGUUUCAUCGGUGGACGGCUUGACGUCGUUGGACAUCAACGCAAAAUGAUUCUCGCAGAAGGAACCAUCUCCGGUGAAUUACGGACAGAGCAACAUUGCCGUUGCAGCAUUAAUUGGGUCUAUCGCCCAAACGAACACAUGUCGGAUUACUCGUCCCGCCGGCACAUAUACAUACGUCAGGCGGCGGCAUAGUCGUGCCAAGAAGCGAAGAAGAAGACGAAGAAGAAGAGGAGGAAGCGAGAGGUAUGUCAAGGGAUCGGAUAAAGAAAGAGAAAGACGUAAUGAGAAAAAGAAGGAGCAAAGAUCGAGACAAGUCUGUUCUUUCAUUAAUCAGCGAUUAAGCCUCUGGCCUCGGCCUUUAUGAAUUAUUAUGAUACCACAUCUCACGACAUCGCCAUCAGUCACGACCCGUCGUGUAUCUCGGUAACUAUCUCCGGGGCCGCCUGGCAGACGUGUUUACAUUUAUCACCGUCAUCUUUUCAGCAUGCUUGAUUUAUCUUCCGCGCAUUAUCAUCUGACACUUUGACAUUUUGUUUGAAUGGAUAAGAGUGGCUAAUGUCGCUUUCGAGUCUCGAAGGACCGGCGCUGACGAACACAAGUGCGGAUUAAGAGUUGUGGAUUGCGGAUACAUAAAAUAUCGUAUUGUGUGAUACUAGAGAAAAAUAAAGAGAGAGAGAGAGAGAGAGAGCGUUAUUUUUAAGUCCGUCGGUAAAUAAUGCGGCAAUAGUGCGUUUUAUUUAACACGUGCAUUUGCUCUGUACAUUAGCAUAUGGUUCA
This is a long non-coding RNA of Dinoponera quadriceps, 1238 nucleotides long. RefSeq lists it as uncharacterized. The record is from RefSeq and is a predicted model, not a curated record. NCBI's taxonomy places the organism in Eukaryota, Metazoa, Arthropoda, Insecta, Hymenoptera, Formicidae. The transcript has 4 exons.